Molecule: long non-coding RNA, 274 nt
Organism: Salarias fasciatus (jewelled blenny)
Lineage: Eukaryota; Metazoa; Chordata; Actinopteri; Blenniiformes; Blenniidae
Exons: 3
Source: RefSeq, a predicted model, not a curated record
AGGAGGAGACUGGAGACUGACUGUGAAGCAGCUUUGUCUGGAACUCCAGCUACUAAGGAGCUUUUCCGUCUGUGCAAGAUAGCCAGAGCCUUCCCAGUGAGCAGUGCAGCAUGUGAGCAAGCGGCCUGGGUGUCCUCAGCAUGUCCAAGCCUCUUCUUGGGAGAGUUUCAGCGCGGCUGACACUGUAGCUGAGAACAUGACUCUGAUCGGCGAAAUCAACCAGCUGCGUCUGGCCAGGACCCAGAUCAAGGACUACAAGACUCAGGUCUCCACG